GAUGAAGAACGAAGCGAAAUGCGAUACUUGGUGUGAAUUGCAGAAUCCCGUGAACCAUCGAGUCUUUGAACGCAAGUUGCGCCCGAAGCCAUUAGGCCGAGGGCACGCCUGCCUGGGUGUCACACGUCGUUGCCCCCCCAUCUACUCCUUCGGGAUUGCGGGGGGCGGAUGAUGGCCUCCCGUGCGCCUCGUCGCGCGGUUGGCAUAAAUGCCAAGUCCUCGGCGACGCACGCCACGACAAUCGGUGGUUGCGAAACCUCGGUUGCCCGUCGUGUGCGGUCGUCGCGCAUCGAGGGCUCGAAAAAAUUGCCGGGCUCCGGCUCGGCUUUCAACGCGACCCCAGGUCAGGCGGGGUUACCCGCUGAAUUUAAGCAUAUCAAUAAGCGGAGGA
RNAcentral lists this unclassified non-coding RNA (391 nucleotides) under soil metagenome. RNAcentral's name for it is "partial contains 5.8S ribosomal RNA, internal transcribed spacer 2, and large subunit ribosomal RNA". The stretch from base 1 to 122 matches the Rfam family "5.8S ribosomal RNA", at positions 35 to 154 of the family's 154-position model. The record is from RNAcentral.